UUAAAUUCUAAAGGUAACUACCAAAGUUUUUAAACUAAAUGAAGUGCUUUAUGACAGUUGUAUUUAGUGCCCACAGAAAUAACUUUGGAGAGAGGGAGAGAGAGAGACACUGAAGCUGAGGUUUGCAAGGAGGCUUCUCGUUUCUCUCAGACGAAACGAAUAAAGAACAAAAAACAAAGAUGAGAGAAAUCCACAAAAGUAGAAGAAAUCAAACAAUGGAGGGUACUGAUUAUUACUGCAACAAUGGUGGGGUUUCAAGAAGAGCGUUUUUUUGUUAGGGAAGAAGAAAAAUGAGCUUCAAUACUCUUCCAUGUUGUUGAUCAGAUUCAUUUCGUCAGUAUGUUUUUAAUCUGUUUCUUUUAUUGAUAAAGAUUCGUGUA
This is a long non-coding RNA of Brassica oleracea var. oleracea, 380 nucleotides long. RefSeq lists it as uncharacterized. The transcript is spliced from 2 exons. The record is from RefSeq and is a predicted model, not a curated record. Lineage: Eukaryota; Viridiplantae; Streptophyta; Magnoliopsida; Brassicales; Brassicaceae.